UUCUUCCUUAUUUGCUUCAACACUUACUCACUGAACACCCACUCCGGACUGGCAUGUUAAACUCAGUUAAUGGUGAAGUCAUAAUUCUGUUUCAUUUAGCUGUUACUUUUAAUUCCCUCCUGUUACUACAGUUCCUGUGGAAUUCCCAGGCAAAGUCGGUGAAGUGGAAACAGCCUGGAAGAUAGAAUGCUGCUUCCUGUGACUAAUUCUGCCAACACAUACAGGCCGUUGCUUCCCUGGUUGUUCAGAGGAGAGAUGCUGAGAUUUAGAAGAUAUGUUUAGAAUUGGGAGUAGCAAUUCUCUCUGAGGAGCAUUUCUCCAUUCCACAUCAUUGGAAGAGCUGGGCCAGUAAUAUCAGUGGGAAGUAAGGAGUGAACUCAAUCAGAAUGUCUCUGCUCUGGUCGAACCUCUACUAUGGUGAGAAAGAAGCAUCCUGCUCAACUACCACUCUCAAGCCCCAACUGUUACUAUGAAAAAAAA
Cricetulus griseus (Chinese hamster) is the source of this 480-nucleotide non-coding RNA. The record is from RefSeq and is a predicted model, not a curated record. NCBI's taxonomy places the organism in Eukaryota, Metazoa, Chordata, Mammalia, Rodentia, Cricetidae.